GUAAGAUUUCAUGAAGAGUUCACUGUGCAGCUUUUUUAGAAUCUUGGGAAAUGAGCUGAAAAUCCAGCCUCUGGUAAGCAAUGAGUGCUCUGUUUAACAUGAGAAUUUGGAUAAGCUGUCAGGGCCAGAGUACUGCUGAGUUACUGAUGCUAAUCAGUCCUGCUCUGCAUUUCUUCUAGAAGAUAGUAGAACACAAGUUCAGCAGAACUUGGUGAGGAUGUUCUGAUACUCUCUGUUUUCUGUUCAAAAGACAGGAACUUUUGGACGACAGCUUUUUUUCCAAGAACAGCACAGGCUGCAUUGCAUCCACACCCUAAAAAAGCUGUGGCAGUUUGACCUUCAGUCUGAUCUGAUGCACCUGUUCCCAUGCAAGUCUCUUCAGAGCAAAUUGCAGCUCUGGCACCUGCAGCACUUCACAAGGGAUCUAUGGGCAUGAAGGAAAAAGAAAAGGUAGUGUGACAUUCUAGAGAUGUGUGGAACAGAUUUGACUUAAGACAUAGGUUGAUUAUUCCUUCCACGUCAAAGUUAGCUUUCAGCAGAUCCAGACUUUUGUUGGCUCACAAGCAAGCAAAAUGGCAAGAGUGUACGCUUCAAGCAAUAUCAGCAUGUUUUGCCUUUCUUGGAAAACACUAGAUCACCAAGCAGCUUCCAUGGGAUAUGUAAGUGAUAAGUUGCCAGCUGCCUGGGAAGCACUGCUGCAGAACAGGAAACAUCACAAGGCAGUUUCUGACGUGGAAGAAGACAAUUCCAAUCCAGAGUCAUCAGCACUACAUAAGACCGCUGAGACCACAGGUUUUUAUCAGACUGACUAACAUUAUCAUACUUAUUUUGCUGCAAAUCCACCCUACCCGUCCAUUAUCCCUUGGGAAAAGAGAACUGUCUUUGUUCUACAGCUGUACAGUGGUUCAGUGCAAUGAGAUCCCGAUCUACGUAAAGGUCUCCCAGGAACGUAGCAACACAGAUGAAUAAAAGCAGUGUUAGCACCUGCUUAUAACUGAAU
RNAcentral lists this long non-coding RNA (1000 nucleotides) under Phasianus colchicus (ring-necked pheasant). Its description in RNAcentral is "lncRNA (ENSPCLG00000011280.1)". The record is from RNAcentral. Lineage: Eukaryota; Metazoa; Chordata; Aves; Galliformes; Phasianidae.